UUCCGCUUCACAUCCACGGCCUUGGCCUUCACAUUCGCCUCCUGAAUCCCAUCGAGACACGUCUCGUCAUCCGUGAGGGCGGCGCUCAGCCACGUCUGGGCAUUGCUCAUCUGGAAUCGAAACGUCUCCUUCCGGAGGUGGUGCAGCUCGGCGAGCGUCUCGCUCAGCUCGUCCACCGACGUCGACAUCAGGUCCACGCAGUCGCCGAUCGCCGAGAGCUGCAGCUUCGUCCCCUUGAAGGAGGCGGAGAGCUGGGCGAGGAAGCCGGAGACGCGGAGUGAGCGGGCGAGGCUAACGUUCACAGCGGCCUGGGCGAGGUCGCGGGGGGUCUUGGCGGGGCCGGCGUAGUUGGAUAGAGUGCGGAGGCAGAUUUUGGGGUAAGUGGCGUGGCGACAUGAUGAACGGACGAUAUUUGAUGCUGGGUGGUGUUUCCCUGCGGCGGAGGCGGAGUACAGCGAGCAGAAGAGGAGGACGAGGAGAGGGAGAAGAGAGAGUAGGAAACGCAUCGAGGAGGUGAGUAGAGUGAAGAUUGAAGAGUGUGGAAUUAAUCU
Molecule: long non-coding RNA, 551 nt
Filed under: Malus domestica (apple)
Lineage: Eukaryota; Viridiplantae; Streptophyta; Magnoliopsida; Rosales; Rosaceae
Description: long non-coding RNA (MDOM_LNC014784)
Source: RNAcentral